UUAAUUGAAGCCAAAAUAGAGGCAUAUUAUUGUUAAUAAUAUUAUUGAAUUAAAAAUUAUUUCCAAUUAAA
Molecule: transfer RNA, 71 nt
Filed under: Megalodontes cephalotes
Lineage: Eukaryota; Metazoa; Arthropoda; Insecta; Hymenoptera; Megalodontesidae
Description: tRNA-Asn
Source: RNAcentral